Molecule: transfer RNA, 77 nt
Filed under: Eubacteriales Family XIII. Incertae Sedis bacterium
Lineage: Bacteria; Bacillati; Bacillota; Clostridia; Peptostreptococcales; Anaerovoracaceae
Description: tRNA-Arg
Rfam family: tRNA
About the family: Transfer RNA (tRNA) molecules are approximately 80 nucleotides in length.
Source: RNAcentral
GCGCCAAUAGCUCAGCUGGAUAGAGCGCCACACUCCGGAUGUGGAGGCCGGGAGUUCGAAUCUUCUUUGGCGCGCCA